AUUGAACGCUGGCGGCAGGCCUAACACAUGCCAGUCGAGCGGAUGAAGGGAGCUUGCUCCUGGACUCAGCGGCGGACGGGUGAGUAAUGCCUAGGAAUCUGCCUGGUAGUGGGGGAUAACGUCCGGAAACGGGCGCUAAUACCGCAUACGUCCUGAGGGAGAAAGUGGGGGAUCUUCGGACCUCACGCUAUCAGAUGAGCCUAGGUCGGAUUAGCUAGUUGGUGGGGUAAAGGCCUACCAAGGCGACGAUCCGUAACUGGUCUGAGAGGAUGAUCAGUCACACUGGAACUGAGACACGGUCCAGACUCCUACGGGAGGCAGCAGUGGGGAAUAUUGGACAAUGGGCGAAAGCCUGAUCCAGCCAUGCCGCGUGUGUGAAGAAGGUCUUCGGAUUGUAAAGCACUUUAAGUUGGGAGGAAGGGCAGUAAGUUAAUACCUUGCUGUUUUGACGUUACCAACAGAAUAAGCACCGGCUAACUUCGUG
Molecule: ribosomal RNA, 484 nt
Filed under: uncultured bacterium
Lineage: Bacteria
Description: partial 16S ribosomal RNA
Rfam family: Bacterial small subunit ribosomal RNA
Source: RNAcentral